This 22-nucleotide microRNA is filed under the name Bombyx mori (domestic silkworm). Its description in RNAcentral is "bmo-miR-2769". Lineage: Eukaryota; Metazoa; Arthropoda; Insecta; Lepidoptera; Bombycidae. The record is from miRBase by way of RNAcentral.
AUAUAUUAUCAGAUUUUCGGUC